This 332-nucleotide long non-coding RNA is filed under the name Volvox carteri. RNAcentral's name for it is "long non-coding RNA (VCAR_LNC004035)". Lineage: Eukaryota; Viridiplantae; Chlorophyta; Chlorophyceae; Chlamydomonadales; Volvocaceae. The record is from RNAcentral.
GGAGAGGAGAGGAGAGGAGAGGAGAGGAGAGGAGAGGAGAGGAGAGGAGAGGAGAGACGAUUCGGAAUAUUUCGCAUCAGUGUUGUGUUAACACAGGCUGACUAUUCAUCACAGCUCAAGCCACCAACCCGCCGCUGCGCUAUUUUUUACGGCAGAGUCACAGUCGGUUCUCGUCCUUUAUGAAUAUGUGCCGCAAAUGGUGUAACAGCCAUGAACCAAUUGCUAAUCCUUUACGUUAUACACAUCACAACAACGUGUCGAAUACAACUGCAUGUUGCCCAGCCUGGCAGAAGUGUAUAGGCUUCUGACUCAGAAAACGCAGCACGUCUAGC